AACGAACGCUGGCGGCAGGCCUAACACAUGCAAGUCGAACGAGUAAGAGCCGUAGCAAUACGGAGUUCUGCUAGUGGCGCACGGGUGAGUAACGCGUGGGAACGUGCCUUGGAGUUCGGGAUAACAGUUGGAAACGCUGCUGAUACCGAAUAUUCCCUCAGGGGGAAAGAUUUAUCGCUCCAAGAUCGGCCCGCGUAAGAUUAGGUAGUUGGUGGGGUAAUGGCCUACCAAGCCUACGAUCUUUAGCUGGUCUGAGAGGACGACCAGCCACACUGGAACUGAGACACGGUCCAGACUCCUACGGGA
This 306-nucleotide ribosomal RNA is filed under the name uncultured bacterium. RNAcentral describes it as "bacterial SSU rRNA". It matches the Rfam family "Bacterial small subunit ribosomal RNA", at positions 29 to 346 of the family's 1533-position model. The record is from RNAcentral.